UUGCUGGAACUGACUGUAGGCCUGCUGGAUGCACGAGGCGCAGCUUGUCUGAUCCGACAUGUUGUAGCAGCCAAUGUGGCCGUGAGUGGUGUCGGGGAAAUCACCAUAGCCAAGGCAUGAAGCGAAUCCAUUGGGAGGAUUGUGCUCAUAGAGGAACUGGAUGACCGUCUCCACAUUCUUCUGGAACUGGCUCCCUUGGGUGGUCUUGCGGGUGGCGUUAUACACGACACCAGGUUUGGCGUCGCUGC
This 248-nucleotide long non-coding RNA is filed under the name Selaginella moellendorffii. Its description in RNAcentral is "long non-coding RNA (SMOE_LNC000304)". The record is from RNAcentral. Lineage: Eukaryota; Viridiplantae; Streptophyta; Lycopodiopsida; Selaginellales; Selaginellaceae.